UAAUUAGAUAGAUCCGAAUUAUUAUGUAUUUUGUUCAGUAUAUUAAGUAAUAGAUUAUAUAUAAAUGAAAUACUUAUCUAAAUAUCUUAAAUAUUAUUUUUAAUAAUAUUUUAUAAUAAUUCUUAUCUUUAUAAUAUAUUUAAUAGAUAUAAAUUCUUAAAUAUAUAUUAUAUUAUAUAAUAUUUAUAUUGUAUAAUGUAAUUAAAGAGAAAAUCUCUAAUUGGUAGUUUUGAUGGGGCGUCAUUUUCAGCAAAAGUAUCUGAAUAAGUCCAUAUAUAAAUUAUAAUGUUAUUAAUUAACAAAUUAUAUAUUAUAUAUAAUAAUUAUUCACAUCUUUAUUUUAUAAUAUGAUUUUAAUUAUAAUAUAAAAUAAAGUAAAUAAUAGAAAAGAUUAUGUACAGUAAAAUUGUCAUGAAAACAAUAAUAUUAAAAAAUAUUAAAUUAAUAUAAUGGUAUAACUGUGCAACAAUUGUAACACUCACAAGUGAAACAAGUACGUAAGUAUGGCAUAAUGAACAAAUAACACUGAUUGUAAAUGGGGUUAUUGGAUAACCGG
This 556-nucleotide ribosomal RNA is filed under the name Kluyveromyces marxianus. RNAcentral's name for it is "partial large subunit ribosomal RNA". Lineage: Eukaryota; Fungi; Ascomycota; Saccharomycetes; Saccharomycetales; Saccharomycetaceae. The record is from RNAcentral.